Non-coding RNA from Miniopterus natalensis, 1728 nucleotides. The record is from RefSeq and is a predicted model, not a curated record. Lineage: Eukaryota; Metazoa; Chordata; Mammalia; Chiroptera; Miniopteridae.
CAUGGAGUCGGUAUAGUCAUUCGGCCAAAUUAUUAAGUAAAUUGAUACGAGGACAUGAUUCUACUCUUGUUUCACCUGCCCUGGGAACUUCAGCUUUUGAACUUGACAGCCCUGCCACCGUGCCCGCAUAUCCGUCCCCGCCCAGGUGGACGUCUGAGCACCCUGGGGGCAUGAGGAGACCGCGUCCGUGUGUCCAGGCCCCGGCGUCCGACGUUCCCCCCGGAGCAGUCCGGAGGCUGAGCGUGCGGGAUGGAGCCUUCCCGAGGACAUCCCUUCAGCUAUGAGAACUCUCAGCGUUUCUUCCUGGCUUCAGAACAUUCUGCGUAUUGCCUAGUUGUGUGUCUGGUUUGCAAAUCCCAAGAUUUAAAAAUAAACACUUAUUUUUGCCGAAGCCUCGGGUUCGUUCACCAGGGGUCAGCGGCACUCGCGUUUAUGGCCCGAGGCCGGCUGCUGACCGGGGCCUCCGCUGGGGCUCGCGGGAGGCCCACAACAAGAACCCUAGGUCUCGGGAAGCCACCAUACAACAGUCCAAGGGAGCGGUAGCCAGCCCAGACAGCUCUAGGACGACGUCUCCAAGGAGAGGAGGGGAAGGAAGGGCAAGAGGAUUCAUUUGAUGAGUGACUGUAUUGAGAGGGAAUUUUCUGUUUUGUGGAGUGAAUGAAUGUAGGUAACUUGACAAGCAGUAUAUAUCAUAAUAGGCUAUGUCCUCAUCUGUGAAUAAUGAAGAUACAUAAUGGAAAUAACAGAAGCUGACUUAAACCAAUGUGCUGACAUAAAGGGCCUAUGAAGAAAGGCCACAGUGGCAGAGAUGGAGACGCCCACAGGCCACCCUCAUGGACUUACCAAAACUGAUCUAGCUGUUACCAUUGAACAUUCAACAUGCCAGCCUCAGAGACUCACACCGAGUACCUAAUAUAGCAACAUUCUUUCAGGCGACCAACCAGCUACUUAAAGGCAAAUUGACUACAUUGAGCCCUUCUAUCCUGGAUGGGCCAGAAGUCUGUCCUCAGGGAAGUUAGCACAUACGCUGGGGAUGGUUUUACCUUUCCUGCUGGCAGGGCCUAAAGCAGCACCACUACCUGAGGGUUUACAGACUGGUGGAUCCACGAGCACAGGAUCCCAAAUAACACCAUGUCAGAUAAGAGAGCUCACUCUAUAGCAAAUAGGUAUGAGAGAGGGUCUAUGACAAGGAUAACUGGUUGUAUGACAUGCCACCUCAGAACAGAAAAACACAGGUCCAUGGAAUACUUUGCUGUCAUUAGAAGUCAUCCUACAGAGGAACAAAGAAAGGAUUAACAGAACAGAAGCAUUCAAAAUACUAGCUAAUUCUUAUUAGCUAAUUCUAAUCUUGUCAUUCUUCUGGUUAACAAAAUUUAAUGUACCUUACAGUUUUCAGUAUUAAAUCCAAUUCAUUAUUGUAGUACUCCACAAAAUGGUAACACAUUGUAUCAAGUGGUGCUAUCUGAGGUAAUUUUUUCUUCUUCAGUUUUCAUUAUUUUCCAAAUCUGCUGCAAUACUAACUGGUAGGGUUUUUGGUUUUUUUUUUAAAGCUUAAUUAUAGAUCUUUCUUUUGCAUGGCUGUAAAAUUAUAGUAAUUGCAGUAAAAUGAAUACAGGAAGCAAAGAUAUAAAAGAUCGCUCAUGUAUUAUGGCAUAAUAUACUAACCCUCAUUUUUAUUUACUAUAAAUGUUAUUCUGAAUUAACAAUUAUAAAACAGACUUGAAUUUA